RNAcentral lists this long non-coding RNA (1157 nucleotides) under Pan troglodytes (chimpanzee). RNAcentral's name for it is "long non-coding RNA NONPTRT012963". Lineage: Eukaryota; Metazoa; Chordata; Mammalia; Primates; Hominidae. The record is from RNAcentral.
GAGCAAUUUACUCUAUACAUUCCAGCAGUUUUUUUCGCAACAUGCAUAUACCUCAAUAAUCAUUGCUAUUUAUUUAUUUGUGUCUACUUACAGCCUGUAUAGCUUCGCAGUCCCAAGAAACAGCAACUCAGGAAACAGCUGAAGGUGAUUUCUGUUUAAACGCCUUUUGAGAAAACAAAAACAAAGCUUAUGUUACAUAGAAAAUACCCAACAAUGAGACUGUGAUUUGGUAGUGUCAUGCCUCAUCCUGUAUUUCAGAAAAGAAUGAAAUGACAUUCAGGAGAAUUCAAGCAUUGCAAAUCAAAAGUUGGUUACACCUUUUGUUACAUGACUCUUUACAGCAGUUUUCCAUUGUGCUUACUAAGAUGAUGAUUACUGGGGUCUAAACUUUAAACUGAAAUCCUGUGCAACAUCAGUCAACCAGAAUACACACAAUGAUAAAGGAUUUUUGUGAUUCAGUCUUAGGCGCCUAAGGUAGGUGACUUCAAUAUCCAGCAGAAAUACCACAGUGAAUGGUGUCUAAAAUAAUCCAUACACAGUCCCAAUUGGCCUAAAAGUUCAGCCAAGGAAUUGUGGGGAGAUGGAAAUUUCAACUUUCUUAGCUUUUCAUGUAGUUGGGAGGAAAAAAAAAAAGGUGUGAGAAAUUGUCAGCAUGAUUUGUCCCAUAGGCAAAAUCAGGAGAAUACCAACCCAGAGUUCAAACCUCAACCCACAGCUUCCAACCCUUAACUGAAUUUAAGGCUCAGCAUUAUAACUAACAGUUGUGUCAAAUCAGUUUAAGUAAUGUUUUAAAAUGUCUAAGUAAAUUGGAAUGUUUUAAAUGUUUUAGAAAAGAGUGUGAUUGCAACUCUAACUCAAUUUAAGCCCUGAUGCUUGGUAUGCACGUAUAGUUUCUGGAUAUAGUUCCAGAAAGUAAUGUCACACUGAGGAAACCAGAGGUAUUUCUUAAGUUUUAAAGAUAAAUAGUAAAAGGGACAGGAAAAGAGGGCAUAUCAAUCUUGACAUAUUGCAAGGGUCAUCGGGUAGAUGCAGAAUUAUACUUAUUUAGUCUCCAGAGGGCAGAAAUGGGCCCCUUGAUUGUAACUCCUAAGAAAUUUGAUAAUACAGAAGACCUUUCUAAGAAUUAGCUAUUAAGAAAUGGAAACUCUCAACUGCUU